Molecule: small RNA, 473 nt
Filed under: Pongo abelii (Sumatran orangutan)
Lineage: Eukaryota; Metazoa; Chordata; Mammalia; Primates; Hominidae
Description: processed transcript
Source: RNAcentral
AGAGCUCGGCACUGCGCCGGGGCGCACGGCUCGGGGGACCCAGGCCCAGCUACCUUCCCUCCGCCCCCAGGCUCCGUUCUCACUUUCCAGCAGUGGAAGGACGGGAAGCGGGAGCCAUGCAGUCCGAAUCGGGGAUCGUGCCGGAUUUCGAAGUCGGGGAGGAGUUUCAUGAAGAGCCCAAAACCUAUUACGAACUCAAAAGUCAACCGCUGAAGAGCAGGCUAUUUUUCUGAGUCAGCCUAUAGGAUGGCUUCCCAGGCAGUUCCGCGGAGCAUCCUGGGGCCUCCAAGCCUCCGAUAAGCUCCUCCAGUAUGACAUCACGCAUCUUGCUACGCCAGCAACUCAUGCGUGAGCAGAUGCAGGAGCAGGAGCGCAGGGAGCAGCAGCAGAAGCUGCAGGCGGCCCAGUUCAUGCAACAGAGAGUGCCCGUGAGUCAGACACCAGCCAUAAACGUCAGUGUGCCCACCACCCUU